RNAcentral lists this ribosomal RNA (379 nucleotides) under uncultured bacterium. RNAcentral's name for it is "bacterial SSU rRNA". It matches the Rfam family "Bacterial small subunit ribosomal RNA", at positions 521 to 896 of the family's 1533-position model. The record is from RNAcentral.
UAAAACGUAGGAGGCAAGCGUUAUCCGGAGUUACUGGGCGUAAAGCGCAUGUAGGCGGUCAGGCAAGUUGAGUGUGAAAGCGCCCGGCUAAACUGGGCGAGGACAUUUAAGACUGCCUGGCUAGAGGAUGGUAGAGGGGCGCAGAAUUCGGGGUGUAGCGGUGAAAUGUGUAGAGAUCCCGAGGAAUACCAGUGGUGAAGACGGCGCCCUGGGCCGUACCUGACGCUGAGAUGCGAAAGCGUGGGGAGCGAACGGGAUUAGAGACCCCGGUAGUCCACGCCGUAAACGAUGCUUGCUAGGUGUCCACUUCCCGACAGGGAAGGGGGUGCCGCAGCUAACGCGCUAAGCAAGCCGCCUGGGGAGUACGGUCGCAAGGCUA